CAGUAGCCGCGGUAAUACGGAGGGUGCAAGCGUUAAUCGGAAUUACUGGGCGUAAAGCGUGCGUAGGCGGUUCGUUAAGUCUGUUGUGAAAGCCCCGGGCUCAACCUGGGAAUGGCAAUGGAUACUGGCGAGCUAGAGUGUGUCAGAGGAUGGUGGAAUUCCCGGUGUAGCGGUGAAAUGCGUAGAGAUCGGGAGGAACAUCAGUGGCGAAGGCGGCCAUCUGGGACAACACUGACGCUGAGGCACGAAAGCGUGGGGAGCAAACAGGAUUAGAUACCCCCGUAGUCCCUGUCUCUUAUAC
Molecule: ribosomal RNA, 301 nt
Filed under: uncultured bacterium
Lineage: Bacteria
Description: partial 16S ribosomal RNA
Rfam family: Bacterial small subunit ribosomal RNA
Source: RNAcentral